UACGAAGGGGGCUAGCGUUGUUCGGAAUCACUGGGCGUAAAGGGCGCGUAGGCGGCUUUUCAAGUCGGGGGUGAAAGCCUGUGGCUCAACCACAGAAUUGCCUUCGAUACUGUUAGGCUGGAGACCGGAAGAGGUGAGUGGAACUGCGAGUGUAGAGGUGAAAUUCGUAGAUAUUCGCAAGAACACCAGUGGCGAAGGCGGCUCACUGGACCGGUUCUGACGCUGAGGCGCGAAAGCGUGGGGAGCAAACGGG
Molecule: ribosomal RNA, 253 nt
Filed under: uncultured bacterium
Lineage: Bacteria
Description: partial 16S ribosomal RNA
Rfam family: Bacterial small subunit ribosomal RNA
Source: RNAcentral